AGUGAGUGAUGAUUACUUCUACCCUGAUGAAAAACAUGAGGGUAAAAACUGAUUUAAUGAGUCUGACAC
This is a small nucleolar RNA of Alosa alosa (allis shad), 69 nucleotides long. The record is from RefSeq and is a predicted model, not a curated record. NCBI's taxonomy places the organism in Eukaryota, Metazoa, Chordata, Actinopteri, Clupeiformes, Clupeidae.